UUAAAUUGAAGAGUUUGAUCAUGGCUCAGAUUGAACGCUGGCGGCAGGCCUAACACAUGCAAGUCGAACGGUAACAGGAAACAGCUUGCUGUUUCGCUGACGAGUGGCGGACGGGUGAGUAAUGUCUGGGAAACUGCCUGAUGGAGGGGGAUAACUACUGGAAACGGUAGCUAAUACCGCAUAACGUCGCAAGACCAAAGAGGGGGACCUUCGGGCCUCUUGCCAUCGGAUGUGCCCAGAUGGGAUUAGCUAGUAGGUGGGGUAACGGCUCACCUAGGCGACGAUCCCUAGCUGGUCUGAGAGGAUGACCAGCCACACUGGAACUGAGACACGGU
Molecule: ribosomal RNA, 335 nt
Filed under: Escherichia coli
Lineage: Bacteria; Pseudomonadati; Pseudomonadota; Gammaproteobacteria; Enterobacterales; Enterobacteriaceae
Description: bacterial SSU rRNA
Rfam family: Bacterial small subunit ribosomal RNA
Source: RNAcentral